Molecule: non-coding RNA, 69 nt
Organism: Ictidomys tridecemlineatus (thirteen-lined ground squirrel)
Lineage: Eukaryota; Metazoa; Chordata; Mammalia; Rodentia; Sciuridae
Source: Rfam
GGGGUUGUAGCUCAGUGGUAGAGUGCUUGCUUGGCACACAUGAGGCACUGGGUUCUAUUCUCAACACCA